GAUGAACGCUGGCGGCGUGCCUAAUACAUGCAAGUCGAGCGAACGGACGAGAAGCUUGCUUCUCUGAUGUUAACGGCGGACGGGUGAGUAACACGUGGAUAACCUACCUAUAAGACUGGGAUAACUUCGGGAAACCGGAGCUAAUACCGGAUGAUAUUUUGAACCGCAUGGUUCAAAAGUGAAAGACGGUCUUGCUGUCACUUAUAGAUGGAUCCGCGCUGCAUUAGCUAGUUGGUAAGGUAACGGCUUACCAAGGCAACGAUGCAUAGCCGACCUGAGAGGGUGAUCGGCCACACUGGAACUGAGACACGGUCCAGACUCCUACGGGAGGCAGCAGUAGGGAAUCUUCCGCAAUGGGCGAAAGCCUGACGGAGCAACGCCGCGUGAGUGAUGAAGGUCUUCGGAUCGUAAAACUCUGUUAUUAGGGAAGAACAUAUGUGUAAGUAACUGUGCACAUCUUGACGGUACCUAAUCAGAAAGCCACGGCUAACUACGUG
This 497-nucleotide ribosomal RNA is filed under the name uncultured bacterium. RNAcentral describes it as "partial 16S ribosomal RNA". It matches the Rfam family "Bacterial small subunit ribosomal RNA", at positions 28 to 507 of the family's 1533-position model. The record is from RNAcentral.